RNAcentral lists this ribosomal RNA (228 nucleotides) under uncultured bacterium. Its description in RNAcentral is "partial 16S ribosomal RNA". It matches the Rfam family "Bacterial small subunit ribosomal RNA", at positions 568 to 795 of the family's 1533-position model. The record is from RNAcentral.
UGCGUAGGCGGAAAAUUAAGUCAGUGGUGAAAUCCUGCAGCUCAACUGUAGAACUGUCAUUGAUACUGAUUUUCUUGAAUACAGUUGAGGUAGGCGGAAUAUGUAAUGUAGCGGUGAAAUGCUUAGAUAUUACAUAGAACACCGAUUGCGAAGGCAGCUUACUAAACUGUGAUUGACGCUGAGGCACGAAAGCGUGGGGAGCGAACAGGAUUAGAUACCCUGGUAGUC